CGUGCAGGAAGAAGGCCCGUAUGGGUUGUAAACCGCUUUUAUCAGGGAAGAAACCUGUGGAUUUACUCCGCAGCUGACGGUACCUGAAGAAUAAGCACCGGCUAACUCCGUGCCAGCAGCCGCGGUAAUAUGGAGGGUGCGAGCGUUAUCCGGAAUUACUGGGUUUAAAGGGUGCGUAGGCGGCUAUGUAAGUCAGGAGUGAAAGUUUGCGGCUCAACCGUAAAAUUGCUUUUGAUACUGCAUGGCUGGAAUUAGGAUGAGGUCAGCGGAAUGUGGCAUGUAGCGGUGAAAUGCAUAGAUAUGCCAUGGAACACCAAUUGCGAAGGCAGCUGGCUAGACCUGGAUUGACGCUGAGGCACGAAAGCGUGGGGAGCGAACAGGAUUAGAUACCCUGGUAGUCCACGCCCUAAACGAUGCUUACUCGACGUAUGAAACUUGUUUUUGUGCGUCCAAGGGAAACCGUUAAGUAAGCCACCUGGGGAGUACGACCGCAAGGUUG
This 499-nucleotide ribosomal RNA is filed under the name uncultured Bacteroidota bacterium. Its description in RNAcentral is "bacterial SSU rRNA". It matches the Rfam family "Bacterial small subunit ribosomal RNA", at positions 400 to 896 of the family's 1533-position model. The record is from RNAcentral. Lineage: Bacteria; Pseudomonadati; Bacteroidota.